RNAcentral lists this ribosomal RNA (585 nucleotides) under Klebsiella pneumoniae. RNAcentral's name for it is "bacterial SSU rRNA". It matches the Rfam family "Bacterial small subunit ribosomal RNA", at positions 145 to 725 of the family's 1533-position model. Lineage: Bacteria; Pseudomonadati; Pseudomonadota; Gammaproteobacteria; Enterobacterales; Enterobacteriaceae. The record is from RNAcentral.
AACUACUGGAAACGGUAGCUAAUACCGCAUAACGUCGCAAGACCAAAGUGGGGGACCUUCGGGCCUCAUGCCAUCAGAUGUGCCCAGAUGGGAUUAGCUAGUAGGUGGGGUAACGGCUCACCUAGGCGACGAUCCCUAGCUGGUCUGAGAGGAUGACCAGCCACACUGGAACUGAGACACGGUCCAGACUCCUACGGGAGGCAGCAGUGGGGAAUAUUGCACAAUGGGCGCAAGCCUGAUGCAGCCAUGCCGCGUGUGUGAAGAAGGCCUUCGGGUUGUAAAGCACUUUCAGCGGGGAGGAAGGCGAUAAGGUUAAUAACCUUGUCGAUUGACGUUACCCGCAGAAGAAGCACCGGCUAACUCCGUGCCAGCAGCCGCGGUAAUACGGAGGGUGCAAGCGUUAAUCGGAAUUACUGGGCGUAAAGCGCACGCAGGCGGUCUGUCAAGUCGGAUGUGAAAUCCCCGGGCUCAACCUGGGAACUGCAUUCGAAACUGGCAGGCUAGAGUCUUGUAGAGGGGGGUAGAAUUCCAGGUGUAGCGCCCAAAUGCGUAGAAAUCCGGAAGAAUACCGGUGGCAAAGGCGGG